This 250-nucleotide ribosomal RNA is filed under the name uncultured prokaryote. RNAcentral describes it as "partial 16S ribosomal RNA". It matches the Rfam family "Bacterial small subunit ribosomal RNA", at positions 524 to 774 of the family's 1533-position model. The record is from RNAcentral.
UACGUAUGGUGCAAGCGUUAUUCGGAUUACUGGGUGUAAAGGGAGCGUAGAUGGCAUGGCAAGUCUGAAGUGAAAGCCCGCGGCUCAACUGCGGGACUGCUUUGGAAACUGUUAAGCUAGAGUGCAGGAGAGGUAAGUGGAAUUCCUAGUGUAGCGGUGAAAUGCGUAGAUAUUAGGAGGAACACCGGUGGCGAAGGCGGCUUACUGGACUGUAACUGACGUUGAGGCUCGAAAGCGUGGGGAGCAAACA